Molecule: ribosomal RNA, 387 nt
Filed under: uncultured bacterium
Lineage: Bacteria
Description: bacterial SSU rRNA
Rfam family: Bacterial small subunit ribosomal RNA
Source: RNAcentral
GACGAACGCUGGCGGCGUGCUUAACACAUGCAAGUCGAGCGGUAAGGCCCUUUCGGGGGUACACGAGCGGCGAACGGGUGAGUAACACGUGGGUGACCUGCCCUCAGCUCUGGGAUAAGCCUGGGAAACUGGGUCUAAUACCGGAUAUGACUCCAUGACGCAUGUUGUGGGGUGGAAAGCCUUGUGCGGCUGAGGAUGGGCCCGCGGCCUAUCAGCUUGUUGGUGGGGUGAGGCCUACCAAGGCGACGACGGGUAGCCGGCCUGAGAGGGCGACCGGCCACACUGGGACUGAGACACGGCCCAGACUCCUACGGGAGGCAGCAGUGGGGAAUCUUGCGCAAUGGGCGAAAGCCUGACGCAGCGACGCCGCGUGAGGGAUGACGGCCU